RNAcentral lists this ribosomal RNA (375 nucleotides) under uncultured eukaryote. Its description in RNAcentral is "partial 18S ribosomal RNA". It matches the Rfam family "Eukaryotic small subunit ribosomal RNA", at positions 592 to 976 of the family's 1831-position model. The record is from RNAcentral.
CAAUAGCGUAUAUUUAAGUUGUUGCAGUUAAAAAGCUAGUAGUUGGAUUUCGGUUAAGAGCGACCGGUCCGCCGUUUGGUGUGCACUGGUUGGUUUUAACUUCCUGUAGAGGACGUGCUCUGGGUUUAACGACCUGGACUCGGAGUCUACGUGGUUACUUUGAAAAAAUUAGAGUGUUCAAAGCGGGCUUACGCUUGAAUAUUUCAGCAUGGAAUAACACUAUAGGACUCCUGUCCUAUUUCGUUGGUCUCGGGACGGGAGUAAUGAUUAAGAGGAACAGUUGGGGGCAUUCGUAUUUCAUUGUCAGAGGUGAAAUUCUUGGAUUUAUGAAAGACGAACUUCUGCGAAAGCAUUUGCCAAGGAUGUUUUCAUUAA